RNAcentral lists this ribosomal RNA (301 nucleotides) under uncultured bacterium. RNAcentral describes it as "partial 16S ribosomal RNA". It matches the Rfam family "Bacterial small subunit ribosomal RNA", at positions 509 to 807 of the family's 1533-position model. The record is from RNAcentral.
CAGCAGCCGCGGGAAAACGUAGGUGGCAAGCGUUGUCCGGAAUUAUUGGGCGUAAAGGGCUCGCAGGCGGUUUCUUAAGUCUGAUGUGAAAGCCCCCGGCUCAACCGGGGAGGGUCAUUGGAAACUGGGAAACUUGAGUGCAGAAGAGGAGAGUGGAAUUCCACGUGUAGCGGUGGAAUGCGUAGAGAUGUGGAGGAACACCAGUGGCGAAGGCGACUCUCUGGUCUGUAACUGACGCUGAGGAGCGAAAGCGUGGGGAGCGAACAGGAUUAGAUACCCCUGUAGUCCCUGUCUCUUAUAC